UGGGGUGAAGUCGUAACAAGGUAUCCCUACGAGAACGUGGGGAUGGAUCACCUCCUUUCUACGGAG
RNAcentral lists this ribosomal RNA (66 nucleotides) under uncultured Mycoplasma sp. RNAcentral describes it as "partial 16S ribosomal RNA". The stretch from base 1 to 58 matches the Rfam family "Bacterial small subunit ribosomal RNA", at positions 1476 to 1533 of the family's 1533-position model. Lineage: Bacteria; Bacillati; Mycoplasmatota; Mollicutes; Mycoplasmatales; Mycoplasmataceae. The record is from RNAcentral.